Molecule: non-coding RNA, 128 nt
Filed under: Trichinella spiralis
Lineage: Eukaryota; Metazoa; Nematoda; Enoplea; Trichinellida; Trichinellidae
Description: Eukaryotic small subunit ribosomal RNA
Rfam family: Eukaryotic small subunit ribosomal RNA
Source: Rfam by way of RNAcentral
GCCCGUCGCUACUACCGAUUGGAUGAUGUAGUGAGGUGUUUUGACUGGCGCCAGUAGUCGGAUAUGUAUUCGGCUUCGCGCCGGGAAAUUUCCCAAACCAAAUCAUUUAGAAGAAGUAAGUCGUAACA